GGAGGCGGCGGCGGCAGGGGGAGGGGAGAAAGGGAGGGAGGGGACCGGCGCAGCCACAUCGUCAGGCCGCCGGGCCCAGCCCGCAGCCGCCCGAGCGCGGUGGAGGAGACAGAGGGGAGGGUGCAGACCCUUGGCGCCUUACCGGAGCGCUGCACCGCCGCACCCUCGGGCCGCUGUUCAAUCGCUCCCUCACUCGCUAUCUCGGCCGUCGGACUCCGCCGCCGCCCCGCCGCUCCAGCUCCGUCUGUCACAGGAGCUGCCCCAGCGCCCUGACGUCACCGCGCCGCCGCCGCCCCAGACCCGCCAGGAAGAGGGAGGGGAGCGGAGGAGGGGCUGCGGCGCAUGCGCGGGCGCGGCUGGGCCCCUGAGUCGCCGUCUUCGUCCUGGCGAGCGGGCGAUCGCGGCCAGUGCUACUUGGCGCGGGGACCAGUCGGCGCCCCUGCAUCCCGGCCCCGGUAGGUUCCAGAGUAAGAAAGCCCGGGCCAGGCUAUCGCCCAUUCUGCCUGCGGCCUGCUGUAUUAUCACCACCCCGCCAAAAAGAAAGGGAAGUAGGUUGGUUUGCUUGGGAGGGGGAGCGGUUGAGGUUAAAACAAGCAGAUGAAAUGCCUUCGUUCUCUUCCUUUUUAUUAUAGAUCUUUAAUUGGGAGGAUUCGCUUUUAGAUGUGAUUCAGCUGUUAUUUUCCUUAGUCACACACCACGCAUCAGAGACUCUAGAAGUCUCGAAACUGACUCCCAAAGAAAGACCUGGAACUUUAUCCCUACAAGGAAUAUCGGCGAUUGUGGGUGAUCAUCUCCUGGAAGCAAGAAGUCAUGGAGGAGAACUCUUCUGCAGGAUAGGAGGAGAAAAAGGGUCUCUGUAUGUAGCCAAGUUGGCCUCAAACUCACCAGGAUUCUUCUGCCUCAGCCUCCCAAGUGACGGGAUUACAGGUUCUUGAGUGCUGGGAUUAACAGGCAUGUGCCACCGUGUCCAGCCUAUGAUGAACAUUUCUGAACAUAAUUUUUUGUUACAUUGUGCUGCUUACUUCCUUAAGAUAGAACCCCAAAAUUAGGGUUACUAGGCCAAAAGAUAAGGUCUUUUAAUUUGUUUAUUUGUUUGUACUGGGAAUUGAACCCAGGGCCUUCACACUGUGCUACAUCUCUGGUUUGUUUGUUUGUUUAUUUAUUUAUUUAUUUACAUAUAAAUUUUGAAACUAGAUCUCACUAAGUUGAUAGACAGCUCAAGAUGAGCUCAAAUUUGCAAUCCUCCUGCCUCAACCUCUCAGAGGGCUGGGUUUAUAGUCAUGCUCAACCAUACCCAGCCCUUUCUUCUUUUUAAAUCGACUACCUCGGGUUUUUUGGGUUUGUUUUGUUUUGGUUUUUUAUUUUUUUGAGACAGGGUCUCACUAUGUAGCCCAGGCUGGCCUCCAACUCAUGACGAUCCUCCUGCCUCAGCCUCCCAGGUGCUAGGAUUACAGGCAUGUACCACCAUACCCAGCUUAUCUCAGGUAUUUUGUCACAGUGAUGGAAAGCUGACUAACACAACUGUGAUGAAAUGGCACACCUGGAUUUGAGCAACAAUGAUACAGUAGAAGGAGGAUUUAUACUAUCUGGAUUUGAACAUCAAUGUAAUCUGAAUUUUGUUAUAAGGUGAAUGUAUUCUUACACUCUCUGGGCCAGUUGAAGCCAGAGCUGCAGGCAGUUCUAGCCCAUGAGAACUGCCAAUAUCAUAAAAUGGGCCACACAGGGAAACACUGCAGAGGUGCAGUGGCACAUGCUGAAGCAGAGGGAUUACAAAUUUAAGACCAGCCUAGUCAACUGAGACUCUCAAAAUACAUAAAAAGGGCUGACAAUGUAGCUCAGUGGUAGAGUGCUUACCUAGCAUGCACAAGACCUUCAGUUCAAUCCCCCUACUGGGGGGAGAAAAGUUAAAAAAAAAAACCAAACAAAUAAUCUCAUGGAUUGUACACUCUAGAUCUAGUUAUUCUGAAACUAUUUCCAUACUUUGUUCUUUAUAAGAUUUAGAAAUAUGAGCUACUAAAACAAAAAAGAAAAAGAAAAAGUAUGAGCUACUAAAUUUAACCCCACUCCCCUCCACUAGUUUUUUAGGUUUGUUUGUUUAUUUGUUUGGGGUUUUUUGAGACUAUGUCUUGCCCUGUAGUCCUGGAUGGCCUUGAACUUUCGACAGUCCUCCUGCCUCAGCCUCCAGAGUGCUGGGAUUACAGGCUUGCAUUUGGCUAGUUUUUCUUAAAGUAGUUUGAAUUUGACUUGCAAUAGAAAGAAUCUUGGCCUAUAUUUAGGCAUGGAAGUAGGAAAAGAUAUCAGAUAUUAGAAUAAAUUUAUAUAAAAUAGUAUUUUAGCUGGUCAUAGUGGUGCACAUCUUUAGUCCCUCCUACUGGAGAGCCAGAGGCAAGAUCACUUGAGAUCAAGAGUUUGAGAUCAGCCUAGGCAACAUAGUAAAACCUUAUUUCAGGAAAACAAACAGUCCCACAAGGUGGCAUACACCUGUAAUACCAGCACUCAAGAGGCUAAUGCAAGAGGGUCACUGCAAGUUUGAGCCCAGCGUGUGCUACAUAGUGAGUUUAAGGCCAGCCUGGACUACAUAACAAGACCCUGUCUCUAAAAACCAAAGGGGAUGGGGGAAAGAAAAACAAACAAAACAAAAUAAAGAAAUAAAAUAGCAUUAAAAAUAUGAACCACUGGCCAUGGUGGCAUAUGCCUGUAAUCCUAGCACUUGGGAGGUUGAGGCAGGAUUGUCAUGAGUUCAAGGUCAGCCUGGGUUACAUAAUGAGUUCACAGCCAGCCUGAACUAUAGAGUGAGACUCUAUCUCAAAAAUAAAUGAAUAAACCAAUACCAUGUAGAAGUAUAGUUUGAAAUUACUAAAUAUACUGUCAAAAAGCAAGCUAUAGAAUGGAAAGAAAUUUUUAUAUGCAAGUGAUAUGUAGGAUAUAUAAAAAAGUACAACAGCAAAUAAUUUAAUAACUUGAUUUGAAAAUGACCAAAAGAUUUCAGCCUUCCAAAAAUGAUACACAAAUGGCCAAGAAGUAUAUGAGAUAGGAAACAGGGACAUAGCUCUUUUACAAAUGGGAAGGGGACCGAGAGAUGAAGGAAAGGGUGUGGGGGGAAGGGGACAUAAAAAGAAUGAAGAAUUAAAAUGUGUUACAUACAUGUACCAACUUCCCAUGAUGAAUGUAAUCAUUAUGUACUGCAAACGUACUAAUAAAAAUUAAAAAUUUUAUAAAGAAGCAUAUGAAUAGAUAGAUAUCACUAAUCAGAAGAGAAAUGCAAAUUAAAACCAGAUGCUACUUCACACCCAUUAUGAUGGCUACUGUGGAAGGAAAAAGGAAAGAGGAAGGAAGGGAGAGGGGCAGGGAAGAAGAAAAGAGAUCUGUCUUGUGUUCCCUAUCAUGAAUGUAUCACCUUGUAUUUAACCAUUCCCUACUGAUAAAUUUUAAAUUGUUUUAGUUUUUUUUCUAUUAAAAAAUCUCAAUAAAUAUUAUCAUUCAAUGAA
Molecule: long non-coding RNA, 3488 nt
Filed under: Heterocephalus glaber (naked mole-rat)
Lineage: Eukaryota; Metazoa; Chordata; Mammalia; Rodentia; Bathyergidae
Description: lncRNA (ENSHGLG00100045901.1)
Source: RNAcentral